RNAcentral lists this unclassified non-coding RNA (754 nucleotides) under Homo sapiens (human). RNAcentral describes it as "mutS homolog 5 (ENSG00000235569.12)". Lineage: Eukaryota; Metazoa; Chordata; Mammalia; Primates; Hominidae. The record is from RNAcentral.
GCACUAUCGUAGUGCCCGAACCAAGGAGCUGGAUGCAUUGCUGGGGGACCUGCACUGCGAGAUCCGGGACCAGGAGACGCUGCUGAUGUACCAGCUACAGUGCCAGGUGCUGGCACGAGCAGCUGUCUUAACCCGAGUAUUGGACCUUGCCUCCCGCCUGGACGUCCUGCUGGCUCUUGCCAGUGCUGCCCGGGACUAUGGCUACUCAAGGCCGCGUUACUCCCCACAAGUCCUUGGGGUACGAAUCCAGAAUGGCAGACAUCCUCUGAUGGAACUCUGUGCCCGAACCUUUGUGCCCAACUCCACAGAAUGUGGUGGGGACAAAGGGAGGGUCAAAGUCAUCACUGGACCCAACUCAUCAGGGAAGAGCAUAUACCUCAAACAGGUAGGCUUGAUCACAUUCAUGGCCCUGGUAGGCAGCUUUGUGCCAGCAGAGGAGGCCGAAAUUGGGGCAGUAGACGCCAUCUUCACACGAAUUCAUAGCUGCGAAUCCAUCUCCCUUGGCCUCUCCACCUUCAUGAUCGACCUCAACCAGGUGGCGAAAGCAGUGAACAAUGCCACUGCACAGUCGCUGGUCCUUAUUGAUGAAUUUGGAAAGGGAACCAACACGGUGGAUGGGCUCGCGCUUCUGGCCGCUGUGCUCCGACACUGGCUGGCACGUGGACCCACAUGCCCCCACAUCUUUGUGGCCACCAACUUUCUGAGCCUUGUUCAGCUACAACUGCUGCCACAAGGGCCCCUGGUGCAGUAUUUG